Molecule: RNA transcript, 2782 nt
Organism: Helianthus annuus (common sunflower)
Lineage: Eukaryota; Viridiplantae; Streptophyta; Magnoliopsida; Asterales; Asteraceae
Gene name: protein HEAT INTOLERANT 4
Exons: 12
Source: RefSeq, a predicted model, not a curated record
CCUAAAAACAACAAUGGCUUCUCGGAAUUCAUAGAGCUACUGUCACCUCCAUUAAACAAAAACAAACCAGAACAACCUACAGAACCAAUCUUCAUCACUUACAGCCGCAAAUCCCAACAUCAUCUAGCCACCAUUAAAGCACAAAAUUCCUCAUCAACACCACCAGAACAACAACCUACAGAAUCAACGAAUGAAACCGCCACAACUCCGAUAGGGUUCGGGUCCGUGUCGACGUCAUCUCCGGCGAAGAAACAGAAAGGAAAAAAGGAAAGAUCUAGAAUUAUUCGACGAGAACCGGUUGAAGCACCUAAGUUUGUUACUCAACAGAAGGAACAAAGGGCGUCGGAUGAGCAGCAGGGGAGCAACGAGCGUGCUUUUCUUCUUAUGUGGUUAGGGUCAGGUUCGUUCAACAGAAGGAACAAAGGGCGUCGGAUGAGCAGCAGGGGAGCAACGAGCGUGCUUUUCUUCUUACGUGGUUAGGGUUAGGUUCGUUGAUUUUUGUUGAGGGGAUUGCUCUAGCUGCUUCAGGAAAAAGGCUCAUCAGAGAUUGUGUGUAAAGCUAUGGGUAUAGCCAUCGACAAGACUGUUACAAUUGUGGAAUUAAUAAAGAGGCGAAUUGUUGGCCUUCAUCAAAUUACAUCCAUUGGAUCCACAGACAUAACCGACACAUGGGAAGCCCUAGAGGAAGGAUUACUUCCCCUGGAGACCACAAGGCAUGUUUCAAUGAUAACUAUAACACUUUCCAAGGCGGAGUUGAAUACGUCAUCUAUCGGGUAUCAACCGCCAUUGCCAGAUGACCAGGUGAAGGUGUCAACUGAAUUUGAAUACAUUCCAUUAGGAAAACGGGAUUCUUCAGUUGAAAGACUUAAAACCCCAAAUAUUUGUACUUGGCUGUGUCCAAAGAAGUGGUCUUGUUGAGAGUGGUAAAGAUAAUAUGUACGUGAGGCACACUUGUUUUGCCAAAACACUUGUUAAGCGGAGGUUUUCUGUCAGUUUGAUUGGGAUAUGGAUGAACUUGAGGAGUUCACUAAUGAGCGAAUUUUUGCGGAUGAGUUGUCUGAAGAUCAGAGGGAUGGCUUCAAGGAAUUUGCCAGGGAAAAGGUUCGAGAAAGAAGGAGAGCUAAUUUCGUAAGAUGAGAGUGACAUGUUUGGUUUUAUGGAUCACCAACUGCAAGGGGCAGGGGCCGUGGUGGAAGGGGAAGGUCUAGAGCUGCAUCAGGUUUCAUUAGUUUCACAAUUAUUCACCUAUUUAAUAAUCUGUAAAGAGUAAAAUGCCAUUUUGGUCGGUUUAGCCAGUUUUGCAACUUUUGUGCAAAGGUUUGUUUUUUCGCAUAUGAACACGUAUUUAUAGGCACAUAACAACGAAAAGGUACGUUCACGAACAUGUUAAAAAUGACACAUUUGGACACGUAUUUAUAGGCACAUAACAAAAUUUGUUAAUUACUAUAAAUUCAGAUCAUAUUAAACAUCUGUCUUUUUAACAGAUCAACAUGACAGUGGCAGUGGAGGAUGUAUAUACAACAGGUCAACAUGACAAGACUCCAGACGCACAUUUUAAGGUAGUGGGAAUACAACCAGUUAACUUGGCAAACGAGUUGGACCAUUUGAAGCAAUAAAAAACAGAGAAAUUAUGACCGCUUGGGCUGCUAUGCUUAACUACGAAGAGAAGUACAAGAAACCGGUAACACCAGCAAGACUGUUCUGCAAUGCUGGGAUGCUGGUAUGACUUGAUUUUACUUUCACAUUUUAUAAAUAAAAAUAUAUAAGACCAUUAGCAUUAAGUAUAGUAUUAUUUGACCAACUCUUUAACCCAUAGUUAAAUCCAAACAAUAAAGCUCUUUAAGUUGCCAUUGCCAGUAAUUAGUUUAAAAACCAAAUCUAGUAUCUUCUAAUUUGAUCGAAAAUCUACUUGCGUGAAAUAUUGUUACAGCUUAGAGACAUUCGAAGAGAUUCUGUCUCUAGGCCAGAAGAGGAGCCGAGUUUUUGAAGACAUUGUAGUUUAAUUUGUGGCUGUAAAUUGCUGCCUUGGUUCAACGUAUAACCCAGCCUUUCAUGCUGCUAACAACAUUGUGCUUUAUUAUGAUCUUGCUUUUCAAUUUAUUAUGUGUUUGUUUGCAAUUGAUGGCUCACUGUUGUUGCUUUUGGCAUUAUAAGAUUAUCAUGGGUGGAUGUAAGUCUGCAUUCGCGUGUUCUCCUCUGCUACGUCAGGAAAAUCGUGUGAAUCUGCUGUUUCUGUUUUGGUAUUUGCUGGUGCUGCAUGUUGGAUUAAUUUGCCAUUUGUCGUUUAUACCUAAUUCAUGCAAUGCAUGAAGUAGCUACUGUAGAUGCUUAGGAUAUGAUAGUUUAUACCGUUUAUUUGCUAUUGGUCGUUUAUCUUUGAUUCUUUAUCUACUUUAUUUCAUUUUUAUCGAGUUCUUUGAUUUUCAUGAUACUUACCACCAUUGGCCCAACUAGUUUAUUAUGGGUACUUUGAUUUUGGGUCUGAAUUGACAAACAUUUGUUUAUCCUACAGGCUAAUCCAAAAUUUGAUUUGAAUAUUAGUUAAGAUGACGUGGAAGACAAGUGUUCCUACUAUGGACGGGUGAAGAAUAUAUAUGGACUUGAAGAAAACAGUCUUGAAAUAGUUAUUAGUUUAUGUGUAAAGUCAUUUUCCUUUAUAACUUUUGUAGAUAGGUUUUAAUUAGAAGUUGAUGUUUAUAAUUAGUAUUACUAUUUAAAUUAAAAACUUAUGUAUGGAUUUUGGGUUAUUAUUGUUAGUAGCAUUUGGUUUUUAGUUUUCUCA